GCGGCGGGAGGCGCUCCCCGCAGCCGCGGGGCAGGGGUCCGAGGUUCGGUGGUCGCUGCUGUUGCUCGGCGAUCUCCGUGUGAGGCGGUGGGAGGGGAGCGCUCCCGGCCAGCCACCGGGACACCGUCUUCUCGCCCAGUUCCGCUGUCAGCCCCUUCCGCCACCCCCAGCCGUGCUAGCCCCGGAUUAAUUCAGACCCGCUGGCCUCCCUCCAGGAGCUCAGCAAUGACAGUUACAUCUGCAUGUUUCUAAUCGGUUUCGCAGGCUUCACCGCCCUUCUCUCCCUACAGGUUUGGUCCCAAGAAACACAGCUUCAUCCAAAACCCAUUGAUCAGUCAAGCAGUUCGGGCAACACUCUACUCUCCAAAGAAAACAGGUCCAUAUCUUUCCUGUAUUGAGGACUCCAGAGCUGGACGCAGAACUGCAGGGGUGGUCGUCCCAAAGCAGAGUAGAGGGGUUCAAGCAGAGGUUCAAGUGUGUUGGCCUCUUCCCAAGCCAAGGCUGAAGUGUCCAGUUCACAGGAUUCCCAAACCCUGUGCAGCUGUGCAUAGCAAGGAGCGGGAGCAGGAGGCAUUUGCACUUACACAGCCCUUGCACGAACAACCAUAUAUCUGGCACUUGUCCUGUUUUCCAGACUUACUACCAACAUUAUAAAUGUACUGAGUGCUUCAGAAUGCAAGACAAGAACAGCAUGUCAGCUGUUUUCAUCAGGGUACGCAAAUGAGAUUUGUAGAAGCCCAGUGGAAGAACAUCGCAUCAACUAAUGGAGACUUCAGGAGUCAGUCUGCUGAGUUUGUUUCUUUAUCAGUUUGGACUGACAAAGAACAUUCUUGUUGUCUGAAAAUUAUACAUGUCACCUGCCAGAUUGGAAGAAAAUCAGAAGCUGUUCUGGUAGAAUGAUGAAGUGAGCAGCGAGGAACUGACCAUUCAAUUGACAGUGGACUAUUAAUGUAAAUAUUUUUCUUUGCACUGCAGAAAGGACCUGCCAUUUAAAAUGGACAGGUUACCACAUGCUAAAAUAUUUUCCCUAUACUAGACUGCACAAAAUUCUGUUAACUAGCAUAAGUUAAUAUAUGACACUCUUGGUUUUAUUCAUCCUUAUUUGGGCAAGGCCACAGGCUUUUUUUCAUUCCCUUGAAUGAUAUAGUCCAGAAAUUUACCAGAUCUUCAAAAUUAAAAUCAGCUGUUAAAUUACUG
Molecule: long non-coding RNA, 1197 nt
Filed under: Strigops habroptila (Kakapo)
Lineage: Eukaryota; Metazoa; Chordata; Aves; Psittaciformes; Psittacidae
Description: lncRNA (ENSSHBG00005001843.1)
Source: RNAcentral